CUGUGGGUAGCGGAGAAAUUCCAAUCGAACUUGGAGAUAGCUGGUUCUCUCCGAAAUAGCUUUAGGGCUAGCCUCAAGUGAUGAUUAUUGGAGGUAGAGCACUGUUUGGACGAGGGGCCCCUCUCGGGUUACCGAAUUCAGACAAACUCCGAAUGCCAAUUAAUUUAACUUGGGAGUCAGAACAUGGGUGAUAAGGUCCGUGUUCGAAAGGGAAACAGCCCAGACCACCAGCUAAGGUCCCAAAAUAUAUGUUAAGUGGAAAAGGAUGUGGCGUUGCCCAGACAACUAGGAUGUUGGCUUAGAAGCAGCCAUCAUUUAAAGAGUGCGUAAUAGCUCACUAGUCGAGUGACACUGCGCCGAAAAUGUACCGGGGCUAAACAUAUUACCGAAGCUGUGGAUUGUCCGUAGGACAAUGGUAGGAGAGCGUUCUAAGGGCGUUGAAGCAUGAUCGCAAGGACAUGUGGAGCGCUUAGAAGUGAGAAUGCCGGUGUGAGUAGCGAAAGACGGGUGAGAAUCCCGUCCACCGAUUGACUAAGGUUUCCAGAGGAAGGCUCGUCCGCUCUGGGUUAGUCGGGUCCUAAGCUGAGGCCGACAGGCGUAGGCGAUGGAUAACAGGUUGAUAUUCCUGUACCACCUAGCAUCGUUUUAAUCGAUGGGGGGACGCAGUAGGAUAGGCGAAGCGUACGAUUGGAUUGUACGUCUAAGCAGUGAGAUUGAGUGUUAGGCAAAUCCGGCACUCUUAAGAUUGAGCUGUGAUGGGGAGAGGAAAUUGUUUCCUCGAGUCGUUGAUUUCACACUGCCGAGAAAAGCCUCUAGAUAGAUAAUAGGUGCCCGUACCGCAAACCGACACAGGUAGUCAAGAUGAGAAUUCUAAGGUGAGCGAGCGAACUCUCGUUAAGGAACUCGGCAAAAUGACCCCGUAACUUCGGGAGAAGGGGUGCUCUUUAGGGUGCAAGCCCAGAAGAGCCGCAGUGAAUAGGCCCAAGCGACUGUUUAUCAAAAACACAGGUCUCUGCUAAACCGUAAGGUGAUGUAUAGGGGCUGACGCCUGCCCGGUGCUGGAAGGUUAAGAGGAGUGGUUAGCUUCUGCGAAGCUACGAAUCGAAGCCCCAGUAAACGGCGGCCGUAACUAUAACGGUCCUAAGGUAGCGAAAUUCCUUGUCGGGUAAGUUCCGACCCGCACGAAAGGCGUAACGAUUUGGGCACUGUCUCAACGAGAGACUCGGUGAAAUCAUAGUACCUGUGAAGAUGCAGGUUACCCGCGACAGGACGGAAAGACCCCGUGGAGCUUUACUGUAGCCUGAUAUUGAAAUUCGGCACAGCUUGUACAGGAUAGGUAGGAGCCUUUGAAACGUGAGCGCUAGCUUACGUGGAGGCGCUGGUGGGAUACUACCCUAGCUGUGUUGGCUUUCUAACCCGCACCACUUAUCGUGGUGGGAGACAGUGUCAGGCGGGCAGUUUGACUGGGGCGGUCGCCUCCUAAAAGGUAACGGAGGCGCUCAAAGGUUCCCUCAGAAUGGUUGGAAAUCAUUCAUAGAGUGUAAAGGCAUAAGGGAGCUUGACUGCGAGACCUACAAGUCGAGCAGGGUCGAAAGACGGACUUAGUGAUCCGGUGGUUCCGCAUGGAAGGGCCAUCGCUCAACGGAUAAAAGCUACCCCGGGGAUAACAGGCUUAUCUCCCCCAAGAGUUCACAUCGACGGGGAGGUUUGGCACCUCGAUGUCGGCUCAUCGCAUCCUGGGGCUGUAGUCGGUCCCAAGGGUUGGGCUGUUCGCCCAUUAAAGCGGUACGCGAGCUGGGUUCAGAACGUCGUGAGACAGUUCGGUCCCUAUCCGUCGUGGGCGUAGGAAAUUUGAGAGGAGCUGUCCUUAGUACGAGAGGACCGGGAUGGACAUACCUCUGGUGUACCAGUUGUCGUGCCAACGGCAUAGCUGGGUAGCUAUGUAUGGACGGGAUAAGUGCUGAAAGCAUCUAAGCAUGAAGCCCCCCUCAAGAUGAGAUUUCCCAACUUCGGUUAUAAGAUCCCUCAAAGAUGAUGAGGUUAAUAGGUUCGAGGUGGAAGCGUGGUGACACGUGGAGCUGACGAAUACUAAUCGAUCGAAGACUUAAUCAAUUU
Molecule: ribosomal RNA, 2115 nt
Filed under: Staphylococcus sp. HMSC061F10
Lineage: Bacteria; Bacillati; Bacillota; Bacilli; Caryophanales; Staphylococcaceae
Description: bacterial LSU rRNA
Rfam family: Bacterial large subunit ribosomal RNA
Source: RNAcentral